CCCCUUUCCCCUCCGUCUCUCUGAGUGAGCUGGUCUCGUGUCUGCAGUGCUGCUCAGCGUUUUCCUUGAAGGUUAAAACGCAGUAAAAAGGCCCAACUGCAGCCAUGACUGUUCAAACAGCUCAAGAGUGUGUGUUUCACCUGAAAGGGAGUCUGAGCCCACAAGGCCAUCGCAGGUCUCCUCGUCUGGGAGAUUUCUUGAAACAUGAUGGCUGAGAGUGUGGAAAAUGGAGAAAAAAGGUUCUGUCUCAGCCUGAUGACCUCGGAUAUAGUUGAGGCUGCUUCAAAGGCAAUGAGCUGGUGAAGGCUGAUCUGAAAUGUGGUUCCUGCAGUGCAGCGUCACCUCUUCAGAAGACUCUUAUUUCUUGAAACAUGAUGGCUGAGUGUGGAAAAUAGAGAAAAAAAGUGAUCUGCCAGCGUGCAGCGAAUGACAUCGACUUUGCUAAGGUUCUGUCUCAGCCUGAUGACCUCAGAUAUAGUUGAGGCUGCGUGAAAGGAGCUUGUGUUUCACCUGAAAGGGAGUCUGAGCCCACAAGGCCAUCGCAGGUCUCCUCAUCUGGGAGAUUUCUUGAAACAGGAUGGAGAGUGUGGAAAAUGAAGAAAAAAAAGGUUCUGUCUCAGCCUGAUGACCUUGCAUAUAGUUGAGGCUGCUUCAAAGGCAAUGAGCUGGUGAAGGCUGAUCUGAAAUGUGGUUCCUGCAGUGCAGCGUCACCUCUUCAGAAGACUCUUAUCUUCUCAGACUGACUAUCUUGCAUAUGUUGAGGCUGCUUUAAAGGACUGGAUCAAGUUGGAGACCUUGCUUCAGUGUCUGCAUACACAAUGUGGUGGUGAAACAUGGUUUCUGCAGACUGAACUACUGCAACUCCUUCCUGCCUCACGUGAAGAGCUGCAGAGUGCAGCAGUUUGACUUUGUACGCCCAGACUUGGUCACAGACGUCAGGAAGUUAAACGUCCAUUCAAUGCAUUAUAUCUGACAAAUUUAUUUAUAAAUGUUUUAGUUGCCUGGUGGAAUAUUUAAAUCUACAGUGCUUGUGUUGAGAGAAUAAAUACAAAUUGAAAAA
Cololabis saira (Pacific saury) is the source of this 1060-nucleotide long non-coding RNA. RefSeq lists it as uncharacterized. The record is from RefSeq and is a predicted model, not a curated record. The transcript is spliced from 15 exons. NCBI's taxonomy places the organism in Eukaryota, Metazoa, Chordata, Actinopteri, Beloniformes, Belonidae.